UUUUGACCACUGUGCCAAGUUCAGCUCCUUUGCUUAUGCCAGCAAUUGAGUCACUUUAUAGUGCUUUAGUGGCUGCAAAUUUACAUACCAAAAUCAAGAUUUCAACCCCAAAUUCUGCUUCCAUUAUUCUUGAUCCUUUUCCACCUUCUCAGGCUUUUUUCAAUCAGUCCAUGAGCUCAGUUCUUUCUCAGUUAUUGCAGUUUUGUUCAAGAACACAGUCACCUUUGAUGAUGAAUUUGUACCCUUACUAUGUUUUUAUGCAUAACAAGUCAAUACUACUAGAACACAGUCACCUUUGAUGAUGAAUUUGUACCCUUACUAUGUUUUUAUGCAGAAUAAAGGGGUUGUUCCAAUAGACAACUCUCUUUUUAAGCCCUUGACACCUUCUAAAGAGAUGGUGGAUCCUAAUACUUUGCUUCAUUACACCAAUGUG
This 433-nucleotide long non-coding RNA is filed under the name Nicotiana benthamiana. RNAcentral describes it as "long non-coding RNA (NBEN_LNC025849)". The record is from RNAcentral. Lineage: Eukaryota; Viridiplantae; Streptophyta; Magnoliopsida; Solanales; Solanaceae.